Molecule: long non-coding RNA, 2424 nt
Organism: Capsicum annuum
Lineage: Eukaryota; Viridiplantae; Streptophyta; Magnoliopsida; Solanales; Solanaceae
Exons: 2
Source: RefSeq, a predicted model, not a curated record
AUUUCCCAUAUGGGACCCAAAAAAAGGGGGGAGCACACAUCAGAGAGCAGAAUUUCAUUUUUUUUAUUUCUUCUCCACGGUAUAUACCAUAGACACACCAUUUUUCUUGAGGGAAUGCAUCUUCUUCUACACAAUUCCACAUACAAAAACAUACUCACCACACCUACUCUACGAAGAGAACAAUUCCAUUCCAUGGGUAAUUCACGCUUUAGAUAACACACACAGAGAGAAACUAGGAAGAAGAAAAGAGUGACGUCAUUUCUUCCUUCCUCUUCUUAUUGGUCCAUACACACCAAUAGAGAGGAGGUUGAGAGUGAAAGGGAGACGAGAGAGAGAUCGAUUGAGAGAGGGUAGAGAGGAAUACAAUGCGAGAGAGAGAGAGAAAUCGAGUGAGAAGGGCGAAAACACAGAAUGGAGGCAUCCCUGCCGACUGAUUUGAGUUUUCCGGCGAACUGGUCGUCGGAAUCCGCCAUUUUUUGCCGAAAAUGACCUACCCCACUACCAAACCCGUCGGUAAAUCACAAGAAACGACCCUCUUCGGCCAAACCCAACCAAAAUAUCACCUCCUCUUUCAUUAAUUUUGUUCGAACCUCACCGGGAAAACUCACUGUCGCCUACACUUGACCAAAAACAGUCCAAAAACGUUGGAAGUCAGCAAUAUAGUCACAGCGUCUACAAAAACCGAAGCUAGUCCAGUGAAGUUUCGAUUCGAAUUCGGUUUAGGCAGAAUUAGUUGCGGGUUGUCUUUAUUUCGAGAUUCUUAGACUAGUUUGGUGAUUAAACCGAGUUCGGGAUCGAGUUUGGGUUCGGUUUGAGGUCCGGCGGCGCUCGAAUCAACUAAUCCAAUUUAAUCGAAAUAAAAUCAUCAAUUGAGUUAAUUUAAGGUGGUUGGUUUGUGGCUUCCUGGCUGGUCCUCCAUAUCACGCCAAAUUCAAGGAAGGUUUAGUUGUGUCCAACAAGGAUAUAGAGAGUGACACCAUGGAUGAAACAAAGAGUCAGGAAAUUGAGAGUUUAAAGGAAGAAAAUUUGAGACUGAAACAACAAAUGAUGAAAAUGUACUGAGCUUGGGCCAGUGGACUGCCUCCACCUCCGUUCCCCAUUUUUGACCCUACAAAUACCUUGAGUCUUCCAUCACAAUCACAAAAUCAGCUUCCUACUGUUGUUGAUGCACCACAACAUGCCUCAGAAUCCAUUCCGCGUCAAAUGCACCUCAAUACUUCCAUCACUCUUUCUUUAGCUCCUCAGUAUAAGUCUACCACAUUCACAGCACCACAUACUGUCUAUGCUUUUGUUGCUCAACCUUUUACUAAGACUUCUACUUUGGCUAUCAAUCCAACAAUUGUGCUUCCCCAGUCCACUAGUGAAUCCACGUUCAAUACUCUUGAUGAUCAUUCUUAUACUCUUGAGCCUACCGUUAAAUUAAGUGGACCACUAAAAUUUCUUACUAAGAAACCUAGCAUGCUAGAAGAGCUAGAGAAAGUAGUUGGGAAAGUUAAGAGUGUGAAAAAUGAUAUAAAAAAUUCUCCUAGACUUAUGGGCUAUGAAGAUGUUUCAUUUAAAAACUAGGGUAUUUCUUCAAGUUUUACCCUUCCUCCCAGCUUUGAGACAUCAAAAUUUGGGGAGCCUGAUAGACAGAAGGAUUCUGUGAAAUAUUUGGGACGACGUUGCAAUCAACCGAGGGAAACUGAAGGAAAGAAGAAAGAAAACACGCCUAUUGUCAUGCUAGGGCCAAAGCAGAGAUUGAGAGGUACAACCCACCAAUACUGUCAGCCUCAAUCCCGAGCUUACAUAUUAGAUCCACAUAACCACUUGCAACAAGGUUUCUUUCCCGGCCAAAAUCCAAGAAAUCCCAUUCAUCUUCCUUAAUAUCCUUUGAACAAUGCACAAUUGUAUGUUCAUCCAUCUUCUUAUCCACAAUGGCAUGCACCUGUCAUCAACAUCAUCUACGACGCCCACAAAUUUACCAAGGAACUUCUAAAUUCAAGUUUCAUCUGAGGCCAGAGUUCGCAAAGAGGAGGAAGAAAAAAGAUAAUUUCACUCCUAUUGGGGAAUUCUAUGCCAGUUUAUUCCAGAGAUUGGUACAGCAUGGCAUGAUCACUCUUCUCCUUGGGUAUACUCCUAACCCAUAUUUAAGAAGUUUUGAUCCUAAUGUACGAUGUGCAUAUCAUUAUGAUGUUCAGGGUCACAAUAUUGAAGAUUGUCAUGCUUUGAAAAGAGAAAUUGAAAAGAUGAUUCAAGAUAAAUUAAUUAUGGUGCAGAACAUUGACAGUGAGGAAAGCUCUAGUCAUGCUGAUAUGCAAACCAAUGGCUAAGAUGUCAGGCUGAGCAAUUUAGAAAUCACCCCUCCCUCCUAGGAAGGGGUCUGGUAGUUUGUUUUGUUUUAUUUUUUGUUAUCCGAAUUAUUUCAGGGUUGUAGUUCAGGAU